Musa acuminata AAA Group (dessert banana) is the source of this 1427-nucleotide long non-coding RNA. RefSeq lists it as uncharacterized. The transcript is spliced from 4 exons. Lineage: Eukaryota; Viridiplantae; Streptophyta; Magnoliopsida; Zingiberales; Musaceae. The record is from RefSeq and is a predicted model, not a curated record.
CCCGGUCUCCGCGUCUCUCCCUUCCCCUGCCUCACCUCGCGCCGAAGAAAUCCUAGCGGUGACGACGUCCCUCGCUCCUCUGCUCUCUUAUCCGUUUUUCUUGGGCGAUUCAUUGAUUUCCUUUCUGCUCGCGAUCGGUAGCUGCAUUCGCGGAUUUGGUCCAUCCAAUCGUUGCUGUUUAAUUCUACCUGGGCUUUCCCCCCAUGUACUGAUGGUGAUUUGUGUUGCAGUUCGUGUUUUUGUUCUCAUUUCUUUCCUCCCCUUCUUUUGCAUCGUAUUUUUCAGGAUCGAGAAGUUAUUGAGCUAUUGAGGUGUUGAUUGCUUGUGGCGGACUCUAGAGAAAUUUGUUGGUGAUCUGGGGAACUGCUGGUCCGGUUAGGGCUGGCUUCAAUAAUCCAACCAUGGCUCCAGGAGAAGAAUACCGUGCUUUAAGUCAAAGGGGAGGACAAUGCUCUCAGUUCUCUACUAAGUUUCUGCUUGCCUCCCCUUCUUUCCACGGUGGUAGGGGUGCCCUACCUUGGGAUCUGACAUUCCUUUCGGGCGGUGGUGUCAAAGUUAGAUCCGGAUUUGCUUUUACAUUGAUCAUAGUUGGCGCAGUUAAGCAUUGGAGACUUAGAUAUGUAUGUUGUCAGCCAAACAGGUUGAAGGUGAGACGGCCACUCUGAAGCAGAUCAUGAGCUUCGAGGGGUCUAAAAGUCGUCAAUCGCCUCUAAUAGUUAAAAUAAUUGAAGUUGAUUUAUGGAGUUGUCACGAAAAUAGGAAUGCUAACUAAAAAAAUGCAGGCAUUAUCACAAAUAUAUAUCGGCUUGGUAUACUUGCAAAAGCUGAUGGCACUUGUGAGGACCUACAAUGCUCUGAGACAGAAGACAGAAUCUUCUGGACAUCAUCGUCCCCUCGCAGGUAUAUCAGCUAUAUAAGCAUUUACUGUAUUUUGGUCCCUUAAGGGACUUUUUUUUUACAUUUUAACCACUAACAUGCAGUGGGAGAAUCAUGCUUGGAAGGAUCAGUUUAAAUAUGAUGCUACCACUUGCCAAAUAAAGAUGACUACUGGUGGAAAGCUCAUUACUGAAUUGAAUGAAAAUUGGUACUCAAAUAUCAUUGUCGAUGAGAACAAAAUGUUCCAGUCUGUGAGCCCCAGCAGAGCAAGUUAUGUGAAACCUCACAGAGAAGAUCUUUUUUAUGUGUGUCAUGUGGAGAAAGGAAGGGCUCUGAGCUUGUUCAUUCAACUGCUGCCUAAAGAUGGAAUUUCAGUUGUCACUAUUGUAAGUACACUUGCCAAGUUGCCCGUAAUUUAGGAUUAGUUGCUGGACUAUUUGAUGUAUGUUUGAUGUGAUCUCUUGUUUAAAACUAAAUCCUGUUAAAUAUGAACAUGUUUUUCCUGGUACCAUAUGAUGUGCAUCAGAUAACUGAGCUCUUAGAUGAGAAGG